AACCGCUCCAUUAAAAUGAAUGAUACCCUGCCCCGCUUCAGGAGCGGAGUCGAGGGAGCGUAGAGAAACAGAACGGUUCCUUAGUAUCUAUACCGUGCUACAAAUUCAUAAAAAAAAUUGAUCAAGAUUGGUACAUCAAAGAAGGAUCUGAAGGUGUCGAAAAUGUUGAGAAUAGGAGGCAUCAGGAUUAAAGAUAUUGCCAAUUUGCUUCCAUACUCUCGUACACUAGGUUUUCAUGUGUGGAUGAGGUCUGGCUUGAAUCGCGGGUAUAAAUGAAUCUACUAGAUACAAUUAGCUUUAAGCCAGUAGAUUGUUUCACAACCAUAUAUACCAUAUUUAUUUGAACUUAACGGGUAGGUCUGCUAGAUGUCAAAAGGAAAAUCCAGUGCAUUCUCAUAAGAAAGCCCUAUACUGGGUUGUGAUUAAAGAAAACUCUACAACUUGCAUGCCUCCAAUUCAUCAUCCCAAAUAAUAACGCACACACGUUGUGAUAUAUUUGCA
This 501-nucleotide long non-coding RNA is filed under the name Hordeum vulgare. RNAcentral's name for it is "long non-coding RNA (HVUL_LNC019641)". Lineage: Eukaryota; Viridiplantae; Streptophyta; Magnoliopsida; Poales; Poaceae. The record is from RNAcentral.